GUGCAUUUUAAGUACACUACCCCAGUGAAUAGCAGCUCUGUUAAUCUUCUAUCAGGGACUCAGCUGACUCCAAUGUAGAAAAGCACUGUGGCUCCUGAUAGAACAUUUGUUGUGUUUCAGCUAUUACGAACUUCAGACUGAUAGGAAAAACAUGUUUGUUCCUGGGGAGAAGUACUUCACACUUUCUGAACUUUCAGGCUGCUGGGUUGAGCGCACAAUUGGUGCAGUUUCUUUUGAAGUGGAUAAUCCAGUACACGGCUGAGCAAAUGACAAACCAGAUGUGGAAUGAAAGGUACCCCUCGGGGCUCAGAUAACCUGAGAAACAAUGGAAUCUGCGGGACAUUUCUAGUGAGUCAGACCCUUGUUCUGCUCCACAAAAGGGGAGAAGAAAAAAACAAAACCACGGUGACACAUAAAACAUGCAGCAACAAAUUGAUGGCAACUUCUGCAAAUGGGAACAUGAACUACAUGGCAUGUGGAUAAAAGAGAAAGCAUCUGCAAAACAUGUGAGGAAAACUGAAAAUAAUUCUAGCAAUUAUGAUUAUAGUGUUGUAUACUCUACUGCACUUAAUUACAAUUUUCUGUUCUUUUCAUGCUAUGGAAAUGGACUAAAUGGACUACAAAAUAUAUCUCAAAAGACAAGCAAUCUGUGGCAUGAAUAGGAUCCUUCUUUAUCUUAAUACAAUGAGGACUACAUUUCAUAAACAUGGCAG
Molecule: long non-coding RNA, 713 nt
Organism: Gallus gallus (chicken)
Lineage: Eukaryota; Metazoa; Chordata; Aves; Galliformes; Phasianidae
Source: Ensembl